AUCAGUUGCUCCACUACAACACUUUCAUGUCAGGUAGAAUCCCAAGAAGGACAACACUGAAUAUGUUUAUGGCCAUUGUUUAUGUUGUUUACAUUGAUAAGGGCCACUUGACUUCUGACAUGUGUCUUGCAAAUGAUGUUGAGGAUGAGAGCACAUUUCUGACUUCUGGGAGGUAUGCAAGGGUCCCUAGUUUAGUUUCUGUCCACCAGGGGGAGGAGUUUCCUAACACAACAUCAUUAUCUUUGUAAAUUAUAUGCUUCUCAGAUUCAUUAUUUGAUGUCAUUUCAUCAUUUCUUCAUGUGAAGAGUCAAGAACAUUACUUGGGUGACACUUAAGAUGAACACUUUCUCAGCUUUAGUGACUAUGAUGCUGCUGUUCUUGCUUGGGAGGACCUGUGGAGACUCAGUAACCCAGAAACAAGGUCAAGUGACUCUCUCAGAAGAUGACUUCCUAUUUAUAAACUGCACUUAUUCAACCACAUCUUACCCAACUCUUUUCUGGUAUGUCCAAUACCCUGGAGAAGGUCCAGAGCUGCUUUUGAAAGUCGAAGCAGCCAACAACAAGGGAAGCAGCAGAGGUUUUGAAGCUACACACGAUAAAGGAUCCACCUCCUUCCACUUGCAGAAAGCCUCGGUCCAAGAGUCAGACUCGGCUGUGUACUACUGUGCUCUGAGUGACACAGUGUCACAAACUGCAGGGGGAGCUGAGCACAAACUCUGAGAAGCAAAAG
This is a non-coding RNA of Peromyscus maniculatus bairdii (prairie deer mouse), 730 nucleotides long. NCBI's taxonomy places the organism in Eukaryota, Metazoa, Chordata, Mammalia, Rodentia, Cricetidae. The record is from the annotation of a RefSeq genome assembly.